RNAcentral lists this ribosomal RNA (776 nucleotides) under uncultured bacterium. RNAcentral's name for it is "bacterial SSU rRNA". It matches the Rfam family "Bacterial small subunit ribosomal RNA", at positions 8 to 796 of the family's 1533-position model. The record is from RNAcentral.
AGAGUUUGAUCAUGGCUCAGGACGAACGCUGGCGGCGUGCUUAACACAUGCAAGUCGAGCGGUAAGGCCUUUCGGGGUACACGAGCGGCGAACGGGUGAGUAACACGUGGGUGACCUGCCCUUCACUCUGGGAUAAGCCUGGGAAACUGGGUCUAAUACCGGAUACUCACUUCCUGCUGCAUGGUGGGUGGUGGAAAGUUUUUUCGGUGGGGGAUGGGCCCGCGGCCUAUCAGCUUGUUGGUGGGGUGAUGGCCUACCAAGGCGACGACGGGUAGCCGGCCUGAGAGGGCGACCGGCCACACUGGGACUGAGACACGGCCCAGACUCCUACGGGAGGCAGCAGUGGGGAAUAUUGCGCAAUGGGCGGAAGCCUGACGCAGCGACGCCGCGUGGGGGAUGACGGCCUUCGGGUUGUAAACCUCUUUCGACUUCGACGAAGCCUUUCGGGGUGACGGUAGGGGUGGAAGAAGCACCGGCCAACUACGUGCCAGCAGCCGCGGUAACACGUAGGGUGCGAGCGUUGUCCGGAAUUAUUGGGCGUAAAGAGCUCGUAGGCGGUGUGUCGCGUCGGCCGUGAAAACCUGUGGCUUAACUAUGGGCUUGCGGUCGAUACGGGCAUCACUGGAGUUCGGCAGGGGAGACUGGAAUUCCUGGUGUAGCGGUGAAAUGCGCAGAUAUCAGGAGGAACACCGGUGGCGAAGGGGGUCUCUGGGCCGAUACUGACGCUGAGGAGCGAAAGCGUGGGGAGCGAACAGGAUUAGAUACCCUAGUAGUCC